CCUACGGGGGACAGCAGUGGGGAAUAUUGCACAAUGGGGGAAACCCUGAUGCAGCGACGCCGCGUGAGUGAAGAAGUAUUUCGUUACGUAAAGCUCUAUCAGCAGGGAAGAAACACUGACUUUAUGGUUAGCAGACCGUAGCUGACUAAGUAGCACCGGCUAACUUCGUGCCUGCAGCGGCGGUAAUACGUAGGGUGCCAGCGUUAUCCGGAAUUAUUGGGUGGAAAGGGAGAGUAGACGGUGCUCCAAGUCUGAAGUGAAAUGCCUCGGCUUAACUGCGUAACUGCUUUGGAAACUGGGGAGCUGGAGUGCGGGAGGGGUAAGCGGAAUUCCUAGUGUAGCGGUGAAAUGCGUAGAUAUUAGGAGGAACACCAGUGGCGAAGGCGGCUUACUGGACUGUAACUGACGUUGAGGCUCGAAAGCGUGGGGAGCAAACAGGAUUAGAUACCCCAGUAGUC
Molecule: ribosomal RNA, 458 nt
Filed under: uncultured bacterium
Lineage: Bacteria
Description: partial 16S ribosomal RNA
Rfam family: Bacterial small subunit ribosomal RNA
Source: RNAcentral